RNAcentral lists this ribosomal RNA (245 nucleotides) under uncultured Oscillospiraceae bacterium. RNAcentral describes it as "partial 16S ribosomal RNA". It matches the Rfam family "Bacterial small subunit ribosomal RNA", at positions 796 to 1041 of the family's 1533-position model. The record is from RNAcentral. Lineage: Bacteria; Bacillati; Bacillota; Clostridia; Eubacteriales; Oscillospiraceae.
CACGCCGUAAACGAUGAAUACUAGGUGUAGGGGGUAUCGACCCCCCCUGUGCCGCAGCUAACGCAAUAAGUAUUCCACCUGGGGAGUACGGCCGCAAGGUUGAAACUCAAAGGAAUUGACGGGGGCCCGCACAAGCAGUGGAGUAUGUGGUUUAAUUCGAAGCAACGCGAAGAACCUUACCAGGGCUUGACAUCCCUUGACGACGGUAGAGAUACCGUUUCCCUUCGGGGCAAGGAGACAGGUGG